RNAcentral lists this ribosomal RNA (253 nucleotides) under uncultured bacterium. RNAcentral's name for it is "partial 16S ribosomal RNA". It matches the Rfam family "Bacterial small subunit ribosomal RNA", at positions 524 to 776 of the family's 1533-position model. The record is from RNAcentral.
UACAGAGGUCCCAAGCGUUGUUCGGAUUCAUUGGGCGUAAAGGGUGCGUAGGCGGCGCGGUAAGUCGGGUGUGAAAUCUCGGAGCUUAACUCCGAAACUGCAUUCGAUACUGCCGUGCUUGAGGACUGGAGAGGAGACUGAAAUUUACGGUGUAGCGGUGAAAUGCGCAGAUAUCAGGAGGAACACCAAUUGCGAAGGCAGCUCGCUGGGACGUUACUGACGCUGAGACGCGAAAGCGUGGGGAGCAAACAGG